AGCUUUUCUAUGCAUUUAUUUGUCUAUUAUCGUUUGAUUGUAAACAUUUUAGAUGCUGGUAAAGUUGAUUUGGUAAUGAAUGUUGUUGAACGUCCAAGUGGUGGUUUUUCUGCUGGUGGUGGAAUAUCAAGCGGCAUUACAAGUGGCCCUUUAUCAGGACUUAUUGGAAGCUUUGCAUAUUCUCAUAGAAAUUUGUUUGGAAGAAACCAAAAGCUUAAUAUUUCCUUAGAGAGGGGCCAAAUCGACUCUAUAUUCCGCAUUAACUAUACAGACCCAUGGAUUGAAGGAGA
Gossypium arboreum is the source of this 290-nucleotide long non-coding RNA. RefSeq lists it as uncharacterized. NCBI's taxonomy places the organism in Eukaryota, Viridiplantae, Streptophyta, Magnoliopsida, Malvales, Malvaceae. The record is from RefSeq and is a predicted model, not a curated record. The transcript is spliced from 3 exons.